CGAGGGAAGCCGGGUGGCGGUACUGAUCAUGAACCCCGUGAGAUCCGAGAGGAAGCAGCGGUAGUGACCCAGGCCGGGUACCCGGCUUCCCUGGCAG
RNAcentral lists this signal recognition particle RNA (97 nucleotides) under Desulfomicrobiaceae bacterium. RNAcentral's name for it is "signal recognition particle sRNA small type". It matches the Rfam family "Bacterial small signal recognition particle RNA". From Rfam's summary of the family: The signal recognition particle (SRP) is a universally conserved ribonucleoprotein involved in the co-translational targeting of proteins to membranes. Archaeal SRP consists of a 7S RNA and homologues of the eukaryotic SRP19 and SRP54 proteins. In most bacteria, the SRP consists of a 4.5S RNA and the Ffh protein (a homologue of the eukaryotic SRP54 protein). The record is from RNAcentral. Lineage: Bacteria; Pseudomonadati; Thermodesulfobacteriota; Desulfovibrionia; Desulfovibrionales; Desulfomicrobiaceae.